Non-coding RNA from Acanthosepion pharaonis, 102 nucleotides. The record is from the annotation of a GenBank genome assembly. Lineage: Eukaryota; Metazoa; Mollusca; Cephalopoda; Sepiida; Sepiidae.
AUGAUGAAUACACCGGUUCCCGUACGAUCACCGAAGUUAAGCAACGUUAAGCCUGUUCAGUACCUAGAUGGGUGACCACUUGGGAAUACCAUAUGUUGUAAG